CGAAGAGCGUCUCAGUAUCAGUGAGCCCCUCUGGUGAAAUAGUGGAGGGCAGUUCAGUGACUCUGACCUGCAGCAGUGAUGCCAACCCACCAGUGCAGAACUACACCUGGUUUAAGAAGAAUGACACUGGAGUCUGGCAGGCAGGAUCUGGACAGAGUUUGAACUUUUCUAACUUUAGAUCCUGGAACAAAGGACAGUACUACUGUGAGGCACAGAACAGACUUGGAGCUCAGAAUGCUUCUGCUAUACUGGUCACAGUGCAAGGAGGUCAGUCACUGAUCGUGGCUGCAGCUGUGGGAGUGGCUGAAAUUUUGGCUCUUGUGUUUCUGGGUGUGUGCCUGAGGAGAAAAUCAACAAAUGAGACAGAAGAGGACAGGCAGGGGAAUAAAAGCCCCAUUUAUGGCAACGUCUCAGGGAUGGCAAUGAGUCACACUGGAACACAGGGUCACCAGCCCCAUCCGUAAAGGAAGACUGUGUUCUCUACAGCACACUUCGAAAACUGGACAUGUGAAAAUAAACCAGGAAGAUAUCUUGCUUCAUAAACUGUGGACCAAUGCUGGUUAUUCAGUGUAAAUUUGAACAUUUCUUUUGAAUGUGUGAGCAUUUUCUGAGUUUUUUCUUGAACAACAGAUUGUCUGCAAAGUAAGGCGGUAUGAACCAAAAAUUUCCUUCACUGGAUGAUACAUUUUAGAGUAUUUAUUAAAACCAGUGAACAUAAACUCUCCUCAUGAACUCAGGUCACAUGCUGUGCCUUUGUCACAUGACCAGGAUGACUGUGGUUAUUGGGUCUGCAAAGAUGUACUCAGAAUGCAUCAUUCCUUUGGCAUUCUAUCAACAUUUACAUGCAUAACAGCUCAUGUCUUCAUAUUGUACACAAAGUAUUAUCAUGAUGUUGGUGCCUGAAAGCCAUUAUCAUUGCUGAAUGUAUUCGUUGGCCAAAUGUACUGGAGAAAUGGGCUUUAUAUGUAA
Molecule: long non-coding RNA, 969 nt
Organism: Anguilla anguilla (European eel)
Lineage: Eukaryota; Metazoa; Chordata; Actinopteri; Anguilliformes; Anguillidae
Exons: 5
Source: RefSeq, a predicted model, not a curated record